AAAAAAAAAAAAAAAAAAAAAAAAGGAAAAGAAAAGAAAAAAAAACCACAACCACCGAAAUGAGGGUGGCGGGGCUGCCACCCUCCACCAGCCCGGAUGCGCUCCGACGGGACAGCACGCCUGCCGACACGCUGCCACGCACAUGCUGCCAGCCUGUCAUGUCCGUGCGGGGGGGAAAUGGAAUUAGGGCAAAAAAUAAAACACCCCAAAGGCAGAGCAAAGAAGGCCCGGGACCCCCAAUUCUGCCCUGAGCCCUCACAGCAUAGGCUGUUGUAGUACAUGGGUGGGUGCAUGCUCCAUUCAUGUUCCUUGUGGACCAGGCAGACGGGGCCAUGGCGUGGAGGUCACUGGUGAAAUGUUGUCUGGCUGAGCUGGGGGUGUGCAGCCCACCCUCACGCCCUGCUGCAGGAGUGCAGCCGUGUCCCAAAGCGCCCUGUGCCACCACGCAGCGAGACGAGGCCUGCUGCCACCAGCACGGUCACCUGCACGCUCUGGGCGUUGUUACAGGCAGGGGCAGAGGCUGGCAACGUGCCUGGAUAUCUUUCCUUGGGUUUUGGAUUCUUAUGAAGGAAAUCCUAAACCUCACAACGGCUGUGCACUUAUGAUCAAGUCAAGGACAGCAAUUCCAUGUGCACUUCAAAAAAAAACAACCCACACCACCACCAAAAAAAAUAAACAAUGCGUACUCUGAGUACAUUCUCAGCUGUGUUGGAACAGACAGUCAGCUCUCUACUGGAGAAAAUACCAGGUUCUUGAUCGUAAGUUUUUUGAGUAGGUUGUUAACAAAAGGAAAACAAAACCCAAAGGUCUGCUAUGUCCUCUUAAACAGCCAUGAUCUGCUUGUACUUUGACUACAUGCCAUUCAAAGCAGUAGUGUCUAAGUGAAGCACCCUUUAUAAUGCAACAAUACUAGUUCCUGCAUGAGGAACCUCGCAAACUUGCACAGGAUGGCUUGCAGAACAAUGGGGCUCUCAGGAGGCACCUUAGGAACAGGAAGCUAAUUUCGCAGUUUGUUUAGAGACCUGAUUCAGGAAGAGCCUACCUCAGUCUCAGGCAGUUACUUGCUCUGAAUGGGUACAGGCAGGUUCUGAAUCAGGUGUAUUGUGUCACUACUGGUGUAAAGGAAAAUUACCAAAACGAUAAUGAGAAAGGGAAAUUUUUUUUGCACCUUCACGCCAAGCAGAAAGCUCUUCAAAUGUCAUUCUGUGCCACAGACCUUCCUUGGAAGAUAGGUGACUCUUUGACUUGAAUUAAGGCUCCUAUGUUUCAAACUUUUUUUUUUUUUUUUUUUGAGGAAAAGCAAACAAACAAAAAACUAGACAUGAAAGAAGUGAUGCAAGCUCAGCUAGUAAAACAGCAAAGUUUCAAAGAGGAGCAUAAAUAUAAAAGAUAGGUGUUAAAAUUUAAACACUGGCAUAGAAAAAACAAUAAAAGCUAUGAAGAUAUGUGGAAAAAAAAUUACUUUGUGUGAAAAACUGUAAGGUGUGGGAAGGCAGAGGGUACCCAUGGAUCUUCCUAUAUGUAGAGAGAGCAGCCCUGCUACUCCAUGUAACAGCCAUUGAUUCUGCAAAUGUGAUUCUUCUUCUUAAGCUCAAUUUGUGAUUAUGAGCAUGGCUUUGCUCUACUGCGCUGGUCUUGGUUGAAGGAUACGGGGAAUGGAUUUCACAUACACCUCCCUCAUGCUUAGUCUGUUUAUUUAAGUAUGAAGCUCUCUGGUAAGAAAGCAAGCAUUGAACAAGGAAGGUAAAAAUCAAGCUCUUUAAUCCUGUUAUGUUGAGUAACGUCAAACAUGGGCCUAGUCUUGAUAGUAAGGCUUAAAGUAGGCUGAGAUUGAAGGCCAGGAGAGCUUUGGACCACACAGGAACAUGCCAUAUCUAAAAUCACACUUGUGUCAACAACUGGAUUAGGUUAUUUUACACUGCUGCCACUGAGAGCUCUCCAAAAACAGGAGCCACCUGCAGUGAGAGGGUGUCUUGGGUCUGCCCCACUCAUGCUAGUACAGGGGGAUUGCUGAUCCCUGUAGGGAAGAAAGAGGUCUUCAAAAUGUAGAGGUCUCAGAGACAACAGCAUAACAGAUGGAAGAGGAAAUCUCAGCACACAGCCAAUGCCGUGAAACGAAGGAUCCUCUCUGGGAAUUGGUUAGUAGUGCCAAUGUUUAAUAUUUGUCAUAACAACCACUGACUGUUUUGUUUUUUGUUCUAACAAUGUGAAUUAUGCAUUAAACAUUAAUACAAGCGAGUGUACUUUUCUUUUGAUCUUCAAGCGUAAUCAUUUCUAAUGAGAGUUUAUACACGAGCAUUGAAACAAAUCCCUGAGUCAUGUGAAUUUACAUUGGUUUUACUCUGUGGGAAAGAUAUCCCACAUGGGUUACUCAUGUCUGUAAAAUAUAACAUACUUAUAAAUCA
Molecule: long non-coding RNA, 2405 nt
Organism: Oxyura jamaicensis (ruddy duck)
Lineage: Eukaryota; Metazoa; Chordata; Aves; Anseriformes; Anatidae
Exons: 2
Source: RefSeq, a predicted model, not a curated record